Molecule: long non-coding RNA, 8840 nt
Filed under: Nicotiana tabacum (common tobacco)
Lineage: Eukaryota; Viridiplantae; Streptophyta; Magnoliopsida; Solanales; Solanaceae
Description: long non-coding RNA (NTAB_LNC001415)
Source: RNAcentral
AAAACAAGACAAGAUUCCCCCACAAAACCCCAAUAAAUCUAUUUGUAAUGGACUAAAACUCGGGACCAAUUUCGGACAAAAAUGCCCUUCCAGGUCAAUUAUGCGACCGCAUUUCUGUCAUAUAACAGAUUUGCGGUCCGCAUUCUCGUCACAGUCGUCGCAUCUUUGAAACCCUAGUUCCCAGGUAGUCGUCGCAUUUGGGUUAUGCGGUCUGCAUUGUUGAUUUGUCAUCGCAUUUUCCGCCUUCAGCAACUUCUACAGGGAGUUUAUGAUCUAUUAUGCGGCCCGCAAACCUGUUAUGCGGUUGCAUAAUGGACCGCAUUUCUUGCGCUUGAAUUUGGCCAACAGACUGUUGGGCUUUGCCAUUCCUUUGAGCAUUAUGCGGUCCGCAUGUUGGAUUUGCAGUCCGCAUAUUCACAUCUGCGAUUGCAUUUUGCCUUUUUCUUGUCCUUUUGCGGCUUUUUAAUUUUAUUUCCAUAUUCUUGGGUCCUUAAGACUCAUACACUGCAAAACAUUAAAAUUACAUAAGUAUAAAAGAUAAUUGCAUUUAAAACAAACUAAAAUCUAAGCAAUUUGCAUUAAAUGUGUUGAAAUUCUCCGGCACAUCAACACCCCCAACUUAAACUCUUGCUUGUCCUCAAGCAACUAAAAUGACACUAUCCUAUUCUAGACUCCAUCUAAACGAUAUGAAACAAUAGUGACCGUGGACAGUGUUAGUUGUUAGUACUACAAGCAUGCACUUUUGUUUAUUUACCCUUCAUGAACCAUCAUUGUUAUUUUACAAAAAAAACUAAUCAGCUUGUGAAACUUUGAGCCUCCACCAAUUUGACAAAAUGUUACUCUCAGCUGAGUGCACUUGCAUUCGACUUCAAGAACUCAACUUCUGUCCAACCUCACAAUUCAUGUGCCCUCACUAGAAAGAAAGUCCCAAACUCACAAUAUUUAUAAUGACAACAAAAGGGACGGAUUCACAAAGACACUCACUCUCAAAAAGAGUUUCAAGUAUUACAACAUGACAUACCAUAGGCUUGCCCUUAUUUUAGUUCNNNNNNNNNNNNNNNNNNNNNNNNNNNNNNNNNNNNNNNNNNNNNNNNNNNNNNNNNNNNNNNNNNNNNNNNNNNNNNNNNNNNNNCCUUGAACACUACUCACAUUUUUCUUUCUUGUUACUCUUUGCUUCUUUUCAAACCAUAUAGCCCUCAUUAGCUCCUAAUUUCCAUCAUUGAACCACCUUAAAUAGCUCUCUAAUUUUCUUCAAGGCUCCAUAUUUAUAUAUAUACAUACAUCUCUUUUUCUUUUCUUUUUCUUCUUUUCCCUUACAUUUUUUUUAUUUUUCUUUUGGAGCUUGAAUAGUUUCAUAUCUUGAGGUAUACUUUCAUACACUCACUGUACAACCUAGCCAAUUUCUGGCUUGACAUCACACCCCCAACUUAAGCUUUUAGCCUAAUUCUCAAUUUCAAGGAGGGACGGGUUCAAAAGAGGGAAUUAUUUUACAAAAGGGGAAAUGUUUGUAAUGAGGUGGCCAAAUAAAAGGUUAAAGGCUCAAAAUGGGGUAACUAGUGAUAAUAUCUAUACAAUGGAUAGCUUGAAAGGCUAACUGGUUUUCCAAAAUCACAAAGAUGCCUAAGUUCAUUUCUCCAACCAAAUGUAAUUAUCAUUAGGAUCGAAAGACCAACCGGGCAAGUUCUAGAUGGCAGAAGUAAAUACACGAAUUAUUUAUACAAAGACUCACACACAUGACACACAAACUGUUUGACAUAACAUAGUUUUAGCCCUCGAGUCAACACUUGGCAACUCGAAGCUUUCAUCAUAUUUACAUGUAUAACUCUAGGUAAACAUAGAGUCAAAGAGCGAGCCUCAAGUUCACACAGUUGAUUUCUUUUUCUUUUUUUAUAUUAAUGGAAGGGUAUAGGCUAUUUACAGGCACACAUGCUUGAAACUAGACAAAUUACACCAAACCGGUCAAAAUGUUUCAUUCUACUGCCAUGGUUCUACUAUUAUACCCUUGGAAAAGAACCCGGCGAAGAAAAACCAAGGGGGAUUCAUUACUAAUUACUAAAGAUGAAAAUACAACUAUCUACUUGUUUUUGUUUUUUUUAAUAUACAAAGAUAACCUAUGUACAAAAACAACACAAGUAUAUACAAAAGUUACAGAAGUUUGCUUACACAAAAACAUGUACAACAGUUCAAUUUAAAAAAAGUUUGUACAAGGCUAUCCCACCCCCAACUAAAAAGCAUGCAUUGUCCCCAAUGCAUAAGAAUGUAAGAUAGAGUUUAGGGGCUCCCUGAGGCGCACUAAGCGCUAUGGGAGUCGGAAGCCGGCUGAAUGAUGGUAGGGUCACCCUCUGAUGCUAGAGCUAGGGCCGAUGAGAUCUCGACCUGAGGAGUGACCUCCACUGAUAGAGGAGAGAUCUCCAACUGACCCGACACUAGAGCUGGGGCCUGUGAGCUGCUAGCCUCUCCUGUUGAUAGCUGAGUGGUCGAUGGAUUGCUUGGGCGACCAUGUCUGCUAGCGAAUGUUCUAUCGCCUUCUGAACAUUUGCUUGUUCUUCCUUUGUAACUGCAGGGACAACAACCUGCUUACCUUUCUCCUGAGGGCCCUCAUCCUCCUCGGACCAUGACUCCUAAUUAGUCUCUCCCUCAUCUGCCUCCCCACCUUCGGACUCUGCAGAGUGUCCGGAAUCUUCCUCAGAAGGGAUGUCAAUAAGUGUAGGGGAAGAUGGAGGUUGGGAAGCCCCGACAGUCUGAGGUGCAGGAGCUGUAAUCAAGGUAGAGAAAUCAAAAUCUAAUCCAGCCACGGACGUGCCCGCUCCCUGCUUUCCUUCUUUGGGCAUGAAUUAGGAUAGAUCGAACUCUAGAGUUUGCAUUUUCUGAAGCUCAGUCUUCAGUGUGGCACCCUCAUCAUAGAGCUUUGGCAAGUCUCUAACCUCACCCCACUCCAUCUUUUAAAUCCACACCUCAAACUACUUCAGGCGAUCCCCAUAAGAUGUUUGUUGUUGUUGGAGGGCCGUCAUUGAGGACUGGAUAGGGGUCAAUGCUUGCCUGAUGAGUGUGGGGAGGUUCUUCAGAAGCUGGUCUACCUUAGCAUUUGCAUGUUGAGCUAAGAAACCGAGCCUUAAAACGGCUGGUAGUAGGGUAGAAGGUUGUGCAAUGGUGGCCUGAGAGGUGGGGUAUGGAGUGGAAGUGGAGGCCAAUGUGGCCUGAGGAGAAGCAGGAGUCUGGGAGUCUGAGAUCUCUGUAUCAGCAGGAAUCGGGGUCUGAACCUUUGGGGGAGCAACAACUACCGCGUCAUUAAUACACGUGAUAUAAAUAUCCUUCAGCGUUUUCCCCAUUUUGUCAGUGUAUGGCAUUGAAGGGACUUCCACAGCCUUACAGAGGGUUGUGAUCAAGCACGGGAAUGGAAGUGACAUAGUUGUCUGGUUGGCCCGAAUCCCUAACUCUCGGAAGAUAAAGUCACCCACAUCAAUUUUUAUCCUAAUCAUAAUGCAUGCAAUAAGAAAAGCUUUCUCAAUGCUUAUAUCAGUCUUAUUUCGGGACGGUAUCAAUCGAGAGGUGACAAAGCUGAGCCAGAAUCUACCCACUCGUGUGAGAUCUUCCUUGAAUAUUUUAUGCAGAGGGUCAAUCCAAGCAGGAGUCCCCUUGGCUAUCACUGAAGCUAUCCAACCACGCUCAUUAUCCCUGUUGGCCUAUUUGGUGUCAUACUCAAUUGUUCCCGAUCUCCAGUUUGGGAAGUAGAACUCAUUUAUAGUAUCACUGCUACAAAACACCUCCUUCCCCCGAACCAAGACAGUAUCACAGAAAACUUUGUUGCGCUUGUGGUAAGGUGUCUUGGAGGCUCCAUAAGAUGCAUAAAAUUCACGCACCACUGUUUCAUUGUAAUCAUCAGGCAGCUUAGUGAAGCACUCCUAGUUUCUAGCCUUGAUGUUCUCCAGUAUGUGAGGGUACUGCUCUUGUAGCCCGUUCAGACUCAGUUGUUUCUCAGCAAGGAUUUUCCAUUUUGUGAGCCCUUCUCUAUACAGCUCCUUGAGCCUUCGACCCCAAACCUGAGUUUGAAAUCAUCUCCUCUUUUUCUUCUUGCCUCAGCUUGUAGGUCAACUAAUGGCAAGGUCUCCUCCUCAUCAGACUGGGAGGGAUGUGCAGCAGUAGCGUCCGGUCGUGAACGUUUGGCUUAUUGUGUUUGACGACUGGUGGAGGCCUUUUUCUUGGAAGAAGAUAUAUGUUUUUGGGAGCCAUAUCUACAAAGAAAUAAAUUGUGAGCAACACAAUAGACAUCAGAAUAAAAAAGCACAAAGAAAGUCAAGUAUGCGACAGGGUAUGCAGUCGCAUAACCAUUGUGCGGACCGCAAACCUGUCGCAAAACUUCUGUCUGCUGAAGGGAUAUAAUUAUGUGAUGGUUUUGCAAUGACAUAUCCAUUAUGCGGUUUGCAUACACAUCGGAAAACUAUUUGCUUGGAAAGGUCAUCACACUAUGCGAUCGCAAAAUCCACCGCAAAGAUGAAUUUGCGAUCGCAAAUUAGCCGCAAACAAUAUGUUACAAAAAGCCAGAAACUGUUUAAAUAUGCGGUGGCUUUGCGGUCCGCAUAUCACUUAUGCGAUCGCAAAGCCUCCGCAUUUUGCCAUAUUCCUCAUGUUACCUAGGGUUUCCUAUGCGGCAACAAUGCGGACCGCAAAUCGACUAUGCAGUCUGCAGAAGUCUUCGUCCUCAAUGUUUUGAACUCCACCCUAUACAAUGGUGAACCAGCACCCCAAGCCUAACUAAAUAUCCAAGAAGCCCCCCAUUAUGAGCAAAUACCCAAUAACGAUGAGGAAGUAAGAAUAAACAACGAAAACAGGAGAAACACACAAAAAAAAUUAACACUAAAAAUUAGGAAAGAAAUUGGGAAAGGAAAACAUACCUGGAAUGGAGAAUUUAGAACACUUUUGGAGAUGAAUUCAACAAGCGGGAUCGUUUGUUUACACUAGCCGUUUGCCUUUCUCCUUUUUCAUUUUUUUUGUUUAAGAGGGAAAUCUGAGUGCCGGUGUGUGUUUAUGUGUGAAGGGGUAGAGGGUACUUACCUGUGAAGUUUGUAGUGGACAAGUCACCGCAUAACACCUUAUGCGACCGCAUAAGUGUUAUGCUGUGGUUUCAACUAGAGUUGCUCAUGGACACAAUGCGGUGCACUUGUGCGAUCGCAUAACUGAAAUGUGGUCCGCAAAGUGCAUGUCCUCGCCGCAUUUCUACCACCAAUAUUUGCCAAACAAAAUGUCCAGGUCUGCGACCACUAUGCGGUCCGCAUAGUUAAAAUGCGACCGCAUAUGUGUAGCAGACUUCCUAUGGUGACUUUUCCUCCCUUUCACAUGCAAUUUUACCCUGUGUUAUGAUCUUUUGAAUCACCUGCACUCUAACACGCACUUUAAAUUACUCAAUUAAAUCUAUCUAAUAAAAGUAAAAAAUUUAAAGGAUAAAAAGGAUGUUACCACACAUGGGUUGCCUCCCAUGAAAUACUUGAUUUAACGUCACGGCACGACGAAGUUGUCCUUUCUUUGGGUUCACCCAUUGGUCGGACAUGGACCACCUUUGAGAGCCAACUGUUCCACCAAGUAUUUUUCUCCAUCUGUGCCCAAGUAGUGCUUGACUCGCUGACCAUUUACUUUGAAGGUUUGGAGCCCAUCCUCCGAUUCUAAUUCCACAGCUCCAAAAGGGGAUACAUCUACCACCUUGAACGGAUCGGACCAUUUCGAUUUGAGCUUGCCCGGAAACAAUUUGAACCUUGAGUUGAAGAGCAAAACCAAGUCACCGGACUUGAACUCCUUUUUCAAGAUCUUUUUGUCAUGGACGAACUUCAUCCUUUCUUUGUACACAGCUGCACUUUCAUAUGCAUGGAAAUGGAAUUCCUCCAUUUCAUUGAGUUGUGUUAACCUCAAAUUUAAAGCUUCAGCCCAGUCCAAGUUCAACCUUUUUAAAUCCCACAUGGCUUUGUGCUCUAGUUCUACGGGUAGAUGACAAACCUUGCCGAAGUAUAACUGAUAAGGAGAAGUGCCAAUAGGGGUUUUGUACGCUGUGCGGUAUGCCCACAACGCGUCAUCUAGCUUCCUUGACCAGUCGGUCAUGUUUGCAUUAACAGUCUUUGCUAGAAUAUUCUUUAUCUCCUGGUUGGAAACUUCAACUUGGCCACUUGAUUGGGGAUGAUAAGGUGUGGCCACCUUAUGCUUGACGCCAUAUUUCUCUAGUAGCCCCGUGAAAGCCUUGUUACAGAAAUGAGACCCAUCAUCACUAAGAAUGGCUCUAGGAGUGUCAAACCGCGUGAAUAUGUUUUUCUUUAAGAAUGUGGUCACACUCCUGUCACACCUCCUUUUUACUACCCCCAGAAGGGGUAUAAGAGAGUUUUUUCUAAUUUAAGUGACAAUCGAAAUGGGAUUAUUUAUUAGAUACAGAGUCGCCACUUGAGAUAAUUUAUGGUGUCCUAAGUUACCGGUUCAAAUCCCGAAUUGAGGAAAGAUUGACUCUGUUUUAUAGUCCGCGAACACAGAAAUCAGGGUAAGGAAUUCUGUUAACCCGGGAGAAGGUAUUAGGCAUUCCCGAGUUCCGUGGUUCUAGCAUGGUCGCUUUGAUCAUACUUGGCUUAUUGAAAUUGCUCAAUUACUCAUUUUAGAACCUAUGUGCAUUCCCCCUUUUAAUUAAGAAAUUAUCUUGAAAUGGGACACGAGUACAUGUACUCAUUUUUGGUGCGUCAAAAAUCAUGUCACACGAAUGUGUCCACAAUUAAUAACACUUUAUUAUUAUUAAGAAAAGUUUGGCCAAAGUUGCGCGAACGCAUACUCCGGUUUUGUUUUUAAAAUCGUAAUCAUGUCAUGCAAACGUGUCCAUGACCACGAUAAUAUAUUAAACGUGCCUAAAGCAAACUACGAUCAUUUGUUAUUUGUUAUAUCUAAAUUAUUAAUUAAUACAAGGUCCAUGUAUGAUUAAAUUGUGGAUGGCACACCUCGAACUAUAUAAUCCUAAAUUAAUUAGUAGCCCAUGAAAACCCAUUUCGUUAUUAAGAAAAGUUUGAUCGAAGUUGCGCGAACUCAUACUCCGAAUUUAUUUUUAGAACCGUAAUUAUGUUACGCGACGUAUACACAAUCACAAUGGAUUUGAUUUGCUUAGGAGGCAUAACGCAACAACAGUAGCCCAUAAUUGCAUCUCUCUUAAACACUCAUUUGCAACAAUACAACAUUUAAUAAUUUUAUGCAUUGAGAAUAUAUGCAACCUUUUCACAUAUUAAAAUGCCUAUUGGAGCACCCGCAUACCGGUAAUAACAGACCCUUUCACAUAUUAAAAUGGAUACUUACGUAGGGAAUACUUUGGUGGAUAUGUACUGCAAAUGAAAAUACUUAUCACAAAAUUUGAUUGUAAGUUUCAAAAAAUUCCAACAAAGGCUUGAGGACAAUACUGUGAUGCUCCCCAUUUGUGACCAAAAUUUAGUUAAAUGAACAAAGAAUCAUGUCUCCAAAACUAUUUUCAAGAUCAUUAAGACUAAAGCCACAACUUAAUUGAAUACUACAAUUUCAUAAGGAUGCUAACAUAUUUUAUGGGUGAAUGUCAACCCGAAAAUCUUCAACUAAUAGAUUGAACCUAAAAUCUAAAACCCACCCCUAAUCAAUGCGCGACAAUAAAAGGUAAUAGCUGAACACAAAAAACAACACGAAUUUGUGCAAUGUAGCCCGUACUACAGUUCUUUAUAACUUAAAAGAAACCAGAAUUUCAAUCAAGCAACCCAAAUAUACAUAUUUCAGUUCCAAGCUCCAUAACACUGUGCUAUUCGUAUGAACACAAUUUAAUGAAAGUGUUUUCUAAAGGAAAUGUAAUGAGAGAUAGUGGCUUAGUUUACUUCUCUCUUCAAUCAAGCUCAUGAAAUGCAACAUAGAUAGAUACGCCUAGCAAGGAUCACAAACACUUAAGGUCAAUUAGAAGCCUGAUUUCAUAAAUUUCAAAAUAGCGCACACAAAAUUGACUUGGCGCGGGCAUGGUCAAAAUGAUCCUAACACUUCAGGCAUGUUUCUGUUUGAGAACCAAGGAGAAUCAGUAAAGACAACUUCAAAUGGAUUCAGCUAUUCAAUUUCAGAAUCACAUCACAAACAUUAGAACAUCGAUAACAAGAUUCAAAAGGAUAUAGGCUUAAAUUAAGAGUAAAUGAAUUUAAAAAGGGUCCAGAUUUCCACUUAGCAUACGCAAUUCGCAUGUUAAACCAACAGAAACCAACGGAGCCCUUGAUUUAUUUGAAAUCCAUGUCAAAAACCAAAGAACUUCAUGAAAGAAUCUGAAGAACCGUGUCGAUGGUUCAGACACUUAUCUCUUUACAUAAACCAUUUAGAAACUAACACCAAUAACAACAAAAUCGAAUGGUGAAGGUGGAGGAAAUUAAACAGAACUAUAAUAUGGACUAUUCAAAUCUGUUCUUAAUUUUAUUCCAGCGAUGCGUAUACUAAUUUAGGACUCUCAAAGAAAAGUUGAACACCAGACUAUUGCAGCCAAACAAAUGGAUAUGCAGCCAUGAACUAGAGGAUGUGCAUUUUAACACAAAUACAUGAACACCAAAUUCCGAGCGGACUAACAAAAUGGACUCUUCAAUGUUUAAAGUUUACAUUCAAUCCUUCGGGAAAAUCAACACAUUGAAUACUAUCAAAACCACAAAAACCACGACUCAUCGCGUUUUCAACCAAUCAUCACGAACAACUAAGAAAGAGCCAAGAAAUGAACCUGAAAUUUGUGAAAUUCUUCACUUAAACUCAGCUAAAUCCAGCAAUGGAUACUUGAAGCAACAGCAGCUGACGAACAGGAAUCAAAUCAGUGACCAAACUCGAAAGUCGAACUUGAUUNNNNN